Long non-coding RNA from Cydia pomonella (codling moth), 2166 nucleotides. RefSeq lists it as uncharacterized. The record is from RefSeq and is a predicted model, not a curated record. The transcript has 2 exons. NCBI's taxonomy places the organism in Eukaryota, Metazoa, Arthropoda, Insecta, Lepidoptera, Tortricidae.
GGUAGUUUUUGACACUGGGUUAACGGUUUAACCGGUUAACCCGGGUUAGUAUGAUGGUGCACCGGCACCAGAAAAUAAAUUAGAAAAUAAUGUUACUUAUAUAUAAAUACACUUGAGAUACUGUAGCAUGAACCUUAUUUUGACUUUGGUACAUUGGAUAAUGAGCCUUAGAUCCAUUUUGCGAAGGUACGAGAUAUGACAUGACAUAGUUAUAACUAGUAGCUCUGUGAGCUGUAGACCUCGCGAGCAUAGCUUAAAAGUGAAUAAAUGUAUGGCUCUACUGUUUAGAAGAAUUAAUAAUCGAAUAUGGUGGUCCAACUUCACAUUGUAUGUAGCAAAAAAAAUUAAAUAGAUAUUAUCUUCACCAGGCUCCCUUUAUCAUAUUAUGGAAUAAUUUUAACUCAUUUGCAAAUUAUUUAGUGGUCGCUGUACUCGCUAUGAUGUUGUGAUGUGCAAUAUCCUCAAUUUAAAAAAGCAAAGUAACCAAUAUGUUAAAAAAAAAUUACCGCCAUAUUUUAACAUACUUAUGAAUAAUAAAUAAAACGUAUAAGAAGUCCUUAAAGCCAUUUUCCAAGCAGAAUUAUUGAUGGGUCAAUUUAUUUUCAUACAAUUUUUAUGACAGAAUUGUUUUAUUUACAGCGACGCCUAAAUGAUGUUUAAUGCUCUAAAUUUUGCUAGGGAUACUGUAGCGUUAAUUUAUUUCUUAAUUAUAUUUUUCUCGUCGACAUGAUAAAUAAAUAUUAGUCUCAGCAACUGAUAAGUAUCGAUGUCGAUAUUAUCGACUUUCCCAUUCCCAGGAUACUUGUUUACGCGAUCGCCGACGCCAUGUUGUAACGGUCCGCCGCAGCCACCAUUGUACAUCUGACUGCAGCGCUGGACGCACGUCGCUCGUGCGAGCGUUAACGGCCGCGCCUUGUUUCGCGAUGUCGAAUAUAAUACUCGUAUAGGGAACAAGUGCUGUGCCCCUAAGUUUUAGAAUAUACUCAAGUGUAUCUGUUUUCCCCCGCUUUGGGGUCUACCCUUCGGGCUAAUUCAACGUCCACGCCUGCCCUUCUCUCGCUGCUCGGCGCUAACGCCAGGUUGCCACUACGCCAGGAAUGCCAGGACUGUAACGCCCAGCUACACACUGAUCCAAGUGCCACCACCACAGUAGGACAACGACCCACGUGAUUUAAUGGGCGUCUCUUGCUUAAUUUACUCACCAAUUGCUUCGGCAAAGGUGGCAGAGGUGCCAGGGGUAAAGGAAUCCUUGUUUUGGCGCUUGCAUUUUCUUUGUCCAUGUUGCGUACUAACGUCUAAAUCUAUAUUCUUGUAUUAUUGCAAUUAACUCCCAGGCACGACCAGCGCGACCGUUAUCUUCUUCUAAUUACCGGGGGCCCUUGCGGAUACACUUCGACCCAUAGGGAUCUUUUGUGUAGUUGCCCCCUAAGGAAAGACUUUUUGACCAUUUCCAUGUGUCGGAUGAUGGAGCUUAUGGGUAGCCUUUUGAAUUCCUUUGGUUCCAGAUAGCCUGCUCCAAAGUCCUUCAUUCUUUGUCUGGCGAGGGCGUGACAUUCACACAUUAGGUGUGUUACUGUCUCUUCCUCUUCACCACACAUUCGACAAUCGGUGUUGUCAGAGUGUCCCAUCCUGGCCAAAACCCCUUUGACCCCAUAAUGGCCCGUAAAUACCCCUGUUAUAAUUUGGAGUUGUCUCCUGCUAAGUUUCCAUAGCUUUUUGCUCCAACUGGAGUCUACUUCUUGUAUGAAGAGCUUUGAGUGCUUUAGACCCGUCAGACUGUCCCAUUCUUUUUGGUGUCUGGUCCUAGUGUGGUCUUUGAUAGCCGUUAUAAUGGUUCCCUGUGAGAGCCCCACGAAUGGUUCCGGACCUAUGUGGUUACUUGCGGAUCCGGCUCUGGCAAGUUCAUCUGCAUUUUCAUUGCCUAUGAAUCCCUCGUGCCCUGGAAUCCAUACCAGUUGCACUCUAUUUUGUCUUCCAAGCUUGUUCAGAGCUUGGACACCAUUGUACCGACGCGCGACCGUUAAUAUGUUUAAGAUAAAUGAUGCCGGUUGGGUGCAUAACUACCCACAUUAUUUUUUUAUGAAUUUAACCGUAUUAUUUUAGGUCACUGACUGGAUUGUAUUGUAAGCUAUUUUAUGUCGCUUUAUUAUAACAAAUUCAGUAUGA